GACAGAGGGUGCAAACGUUGCUCGGAAUCACUGGGCGUAAAGGGCGUGUAGGCGGGAAUGUAAGUCGGGCGUGAAAUCCCUAGGCUCAACCUAGGAACUGCACUCGAAACUGCGUUUCUUGAGUGCCGGAGAGGAAAGCGGAAUUCCUGGUGUAGAGGUGAAAUUCGUAGAUAUCAGGAGGAACACCAGUGGCGAAGGCGGCUUUCUGGACG
This 212-nucleotide ribosomal RNA is filed under the name uncultured bacterium. RNAcentral describes it as "partial 16S ribosomal RNA". It matches the Rfam family "Bacterial small subunit ribosomal RNA", at positions 524 to 735 of the family's 1533-position model. The record is from RNAcentral.